Molecule: ribosomal RNA, 137 nt
Filed under: Microcebus murinus (gray mouse lemur)
Lineage: Eukaryota; Metazoa; Chordata; Mammalia; Primates; Cheirogaleidae
Source: RNAcentral
GCCCACAGCCAUAUCACCCUGAAUGUGCCUGAUCUUAUCUGAUCUCAGAGGCCAAGCAGGGUAGGGCCUGGUUAGUACUUGGAUGGGAGAAAGAUAUAGGGGUAAAGGAGAUUUCCUCAAAAUUCUGCCUACUGGCG